ACCCUGGAAGUGCAUUUGAAACAGUAAGACUUGAGUACGGGAGAGGAAAGCGGAAUUCCUGGUGUAGAGGUGAAAUUCGUAGAUAUCAGGAGGAACACCGAUGGCGAAGGCAGCUUUCUGGACCGAUACUGACGCUGAUGCGCGAAGGCGUGGGUAGCGAACAGGAUUAGAUACCCUGGUAGUCCACGCAGUAAACGAUGUUCACUAGGUGUAGCGGAUAUUAAAAUCUGCUGUGCCCAAGCUAACGCAUUAAGUGAACCGCCUGGGGAGUACGGUCGCAAGACUAAAACUCNAAGGAAUUGACGGGGGCCCGCACAAGCGAUGGAGCAUGUGGUUUAAUUCGACGCAACGCGAAGAACCUUACCUGGGUUUGACAUCCUGNUAAAUCUUGUAGAGAUAUGAGAGUGCCUUCCGGAGCACAGGAGACAGGUGCUGCAUGGCUGUCGUCAGCUCCUGUCGUGAGAAUGUUUGUUAAGUCCACCAAC
Molecule: ribosomal RNA, 485 nt
Filed under: uncultured delta proteobacterium
Lineage: Bacteria; Deltaproteobacteria
Description: bacterial SSU rRNA
Rfam family: Bacterial small subunit ribosomal RNA
Source: RNAcentral